This 230-nucleotide ribosomal RNA is filed under the name uncultured microorganism. RNAcentral's name for it is "partial 16S ribosomal RNA". It matches the Rfam family "Bacterial small subunit ribosomal RNA", at positions 524 to 754 of the family's 1533-position model. The record is from RNAcentral.
UACGUAGGGGACGAGCGUUGUCCGGAAUUACUGGGCGUAAAGGGCGCGCAGGCUGUGCUGCAAGUCAGCUGUGAAAUAUCUGGGCUUAACCUGGAUAUGCGGUUGAGACUGCAGUGCUGGAGUGCUGUAGAGGCAAGUGGAAUUCCCAGUGUAGCGGUGAAAUGCGUAGAUAUUGGGAAGAACACCGGUGGCGAAGGCGACUUGCUGGGCAGCAACUGACGCUGAGGCGC